AAGAUCAUACUUCACAGGAUCAUUUCUGUAGUGUGUCUUCACAUUAUCUCUACUCAAUUGUAGAGUCAAUGUAACCACGAUGAGGAGAAGUAGUGUGGUUUUCUGAGCGUGAGGUAGAUUCGAUGUUUGACUCUAAGUGAAAUUCGAAUUAGCGAUGAUCGUUCAACCCAUUUGUCUACAGAUGGGUAUGGAAACUGCACAUGCUGAGUGGU
Chrysoperla carnea is the source of this 212-nucleotide small nucleolar RNA. RefSeq annotates it as small nucleolar RNA U3. The transcript has a single exon. NCBI's taxonomy places the organism in Eukaryota, Metazoa, Arthropoda, Insecta, Neuroptera, Chrysopidae. The record is from RefSeq and is a predicted model, not a curated record.